Molecule: ribosomal RNA, 188 nt
Filed under: uncultured bacterium
Lineage: Bacteria
Description: partial 16S ribosomal RNA
Rfam family: Bacterial small subunit ribosomal RNA
Source: RNAcentral
CUACGGGAGGCAGCAGUGAGGAAUAUUGGUCAAUGGGCGAAAGCCUGAACCAGCCAAGUAGCGUGAAGGAUGACUGCCCUAUGGGUUGUAAACUUCUUUUAUAGGGGAAUAAAAUGAGCCACGUGUGGCUUUUUGUAUGUACCCUAUGAAUAAGGAUCGGCUAACUCCGUGCCAGCAGCCGCGGUAAU